AGCAUUAUUAUUAUCAUCAUCAUCAUUCAAGAACUGCAAAGUUUGACUGUAACUGCAUAAAAUAUGACAGACUAUGCACAGGCUCUGUACUCCCCCAAGAAUGUCUGUCCAGCUCACCAUGCACUACAUGACUGGAAAUCAUUACUUGACUUUGGAACUGCAGUGUAUCUUCACUUGGUCAUGGCAUAAUAAAGGCCUGUACAGCGAUAAUUGCACAUGAUCCCCUAUAAGUAUGUUUACUUCAAAGGACCUGCCCAUCACCACUUGGUAUGACGGAUAAUUACAGUACCUCCUUAGAAUGUUAAGUCAAAUGGGGAUACACAGUUGACUUCAUUUUACUCUGAUGCUGAAUGACCAUUUUUGAAUGAAGCUACACAUUAAACUGAGGCCAAAUAUU
Molecule: long non-coding RNA, 397 nt
Organism: Engraulis encrasicolus (European anchovy)
Lineage: Eukaryota; Metazoa; Chordata; Actinopteri; Clupeiformes; Engraulidae
Exons: 2
Source: RefSeq, a predicted model, not a curated record